UACGGAGGUGGCUAGCGUUGUUCGGAAUUACUGGGCGUAAAGGGCGCGUAGGCGGCUUUGUAAGUUAGAGGUGAAAGCCCGGAGCUCAACUCCGGAAUUGCCUUUAAGACUGCAUCGCUAGAAUCAUGGAGAGGUUAGUGGAAUUCCGAGUGUAGAGGUGAAAUUCGUAGAUAUUCGGAAGAACACCAGUGGCGAAGGCGACUAACUGGACAUGUAUUGACGCUGAGGUGCGAAAGCGUGGGGAGCAAACAGG
RNAcentral lists this ribosomal RNA (253 nucleotides) under uncultured bacterium. RNAcentral's name for it is "partial 16S ribosomal RNA". It matches the Rfam family "Bacterial small subunit ribosomal RNA", at positions 524 to 776 of the family's 1533-position model. The record is from RNAcentral.